ACCGGCGGCUCGAGUGGUAACCGUUAUUAUUGGGCCUAAAGCGUUCGUAGCCGGUUGGAUAAGUCUCUUGAGAAAUCCCGCAGCUCAACUGUUGGGCUUUCUGGAGAUACUGUCAGACUUGAGGUCGGGAGAGGUUAGGGGUACUCCAGGGGUAGGGGUGAAAUCUUAUAAUCCUGGGAGGACCACCUGUGGCGAAGGCGUCUCACCGGAACGGACCUGACGGCGAGGAACGAAAGCUAGGGGCGCGAACCG
This 252-nucleotide ribosomal RNA is filed under the name uncultured prokaryote. Its description in RNAcentral is "partial 16S rRNA". It matches the Rfam family "Archaeal small subunit ribosomal RNA", at positions 475 to 726 of the family's 1478-position model. The record is from RNAcentral.